CCUACGGGAGGCAGCAGUGGGGAAUAUUGGACAAUGGGCGAAAGCCUGAUCCAGCCAUGCCGCGUGUGUGAAGAAGGCCUUCGGGUUGUAAAGCACUUUCAGUGGGGAAGAAAGCCUUGGGGCUAAUACCCUCGAGGAAGGACAUCACCCACAGAAGAAGCACCGGCUAACUCCGUGCCAGCAGCCGCGGUAAUACGGAGGGUGCGAGCGUUAAUCGGAAUUACUGGGCGUAAAGCGCGCGUAGGCGGUCUGAUAAGCCGGUUGUGAAAGCCCCGGGCUCAACCUGGGAACGGCAUCCGGAACUGUCAGGUUAGAGUGAAGGAGAGGAAGGUAGAAUUCCCGGUGUAGCGGUGAAAUGCGUAGAGAUCUGGAGGAAUACCAGUGGCGAAGGCGGCCUUCUGGACUGACACUGACGCUGAGGUGCGAAAGCGUGGGUAGCAAACAGGAUUAGAUACCCGAGUAGUC
This 465-nucleotide ribosomal RNA is filed under the name Vreelandella stevensii. RNAcentral's name for it is "partial 16S ribosomal RNA". It matches the Rfam family "Bacterial small subunit ribosomal RNA", at positions 338 to 795 of the family's 1533-position model. The record is from RNAcentral. Lineage: Bacteria; Pseudomonadati; Pseudomonadota; Gammaproteobacteria; Oceanospirillales; Halomonadaceae.